This 1478-nucleotide ribosomal RNA is filed under the name metagenome. Its description in RNAcentral is "bacterial SSU rRNA". It matches the Rfam family "Bacterial small subunit ribosomal RNA". The record is from RNAcentral.
AGAGUUUGAUCCUGGCUCAGGAUGAACGCUAGCGGCGUGCCUAAGGUAUGCAAGUCGACCGUGAAGUAGGCUUCGGCUCACUUCACGGGGCAAACGGCUGAGUAACGCGUGAGAACUUACCUCUAACAUGAGAAUAACCCUGCGAAAGCGGGAAUAAUGCUCAAUGGUUCGAGCCACAUGCUUGCAUGUAGCUCGAUAAAGCUCCGGCGGUUAGAGAAAGGCUCGCGUCCUAUCAGGUUGUUGGUGGGGUAACGGCCUACCAAGCCUAAGACGGGUAGCUGGUCUGAGAGAUGGUCAGCCAGACUGGGACUGCGACACGGCCCAGACUCCUACGGGAGGCAGCAAUUAGGAAUCUUGCGCAAUGGGGGAAACCCUGACGCAGCGACGCCGCGUGGUGGAUGAAUGCCUUCGGGUUGUAAACACCUUUUGUAGAGGAACAACACUGAGCUUACUUUACGAAUAAGCGCCCGCUAACUAUGUGCCAGAAGCGUCGGUGAUACAUAGGGCGCUAGCGUUAUCCGGAAUUACUGGGCGUAAAGAGAUGCGUAGGCGUCUUGACAAGUUUUAUGUUAAAUCCUGGUGCUCAACAUCAGAAGUGCAUAGAAAACUAUCAGGAUUGAGACAGAAAGGGGAGAGGGGAAUUUCUGGUGAAGCGGUGAAAUGCGUUGAUACCAGAAAGAACACCGAGGGCGAAGGCACCUCUCUGGUUCUGUUCUGACGCUAAGGCUCGAAAGCGUGGGGAGCAAAACGGAUUAGAUACCCGUGUAGUCCACGCCGUAAACGAUCCUCGUUAGAUGUUCGUUUCAAAUGCAGGUGUGUAACUUCGCUUAGAUGCCUAAUUUGAAAUGGGUGUCGUAGCUAACGCGUUAAACGAGGCGCCUGGGGAGUACGACCGCAAGGUUAAAACUCAAAGGAAUUGACGGGGACCCGCACAAGCGGUGGAGCGUGUGGUUUAAUUCGACGAUAAGCGAAGAACCUUAUCCAAGGCUUGACAUGUAGCUGCAAUCCCGAUGAAAGUCGGGACUCCUUCGAGGGUGCUACACAGGUGCUGCAUGGCUGUCGUCAGCUCGUGUCGUGAGAUGUUGGGUUAAGUCCCACAACGAGCGCAACCCCUGUUGCUAGUUAUAAUUUCUAGCGAAACUGCCCUGCCAAAACGGGGAGGAAGGUGGGGAUGACGUCUAGUCCUCAUAGCCCUUAUGCCUUGGGCUACACACGCGCUACAAUGGGAGGUACAAAGGGUUGCCAAACCGCGAGGUGGAGCUAAUCCCUAAAACCUCUCUCAGUUCGGAUUGUAGGCUGCAAUUCGCCUGCAUGAAGUCGGAAUCGCUAGUAAUCGUGGAUCAGCAUGCCACGGUGAAUACGUUCUCGGGUCUUGUACACACCGCCUGUCAUGUUGUGGAAGUCGGUAGUACCCGAAUCCUGUAUAUUUUUAUGGGAGAAGGUAAGAUCGGCGACUGUAAUAAAGUCAUAACAAGGUA